AUCGACGACUCAGCUGCGCCAUAAGCACCCACACGAAUUGCUUGAUUCAUUGAAGAAGACGAUUAGAAGCAGCGCCCGAGUUCGGGUCUGUAGCUCAGUUGGUUAGAGCGCACCCCUGAUAAGGGUGAGGUCGGCAGUUCGAAUCUGCCCAGACCCACCAGUUUACUGGUGAGAUAGCUGGUCAGAGAGACGCCUCCACGGUAUGUAGAAAUACGGGGCCAUAGCUCAGCUGGGAGAGCGCCUGCCUUGCACGCAGGAGGUCAGCGGUUCGAUCCCGCUUGGCUCCACCACUUACUGCUUCUGUUUUGAAAGCUUAGAAAUGAGCAUUCCAUUGAUCUUGAUGAUCAGUGCCUGAAUGUUGAUUUCUAGUCUUUGAUUAGAUCGUUCUUUAAAAAUUUGGGUAUGUGAUAGAAAGAAAUAUAGACCGGGCACCUCUUUCACUGGUGCGUGUCCGGGCUAAGGUAAAGUUUGUGAAAUGCA
This 480-nucleotide transfer RNA is filed under the name Pseudomonas syringae pv. syringae. Its description in RNAcentral is "partial 16S-23S ribosomal RNA intergenic spacer". The stretch from base 84 to 157 matches the Rfam family "tRNA". The record is from RNAcentral. Lineage: Bacteria; Pseudomonadati; Pseudomonadota; Gammaproteobacteria; Pseudomonadales; Pseudomonadaceae.